Molecule: ribosomal RNA, 1522 nt
Filed under: uncultured Pantoea sp.
Lineage: Bacteria; Pseudomonadati; Pseudomonadota; Gammaproteobacteria; Enterobacterales; Erwiniaceae
Description: bacterial SSU rRNA
Rfam family: Bacterial small subunit ribosomal RNA
Source: RNAcentral
GCUCAGAUUGAACGCUGGCGGCAGGCCUAACACAUGCAAGUCGGACGGUAGCACAGAGGAGCUUGCUCCUUGGGUGACGAGUGGCGGACGGGUGAGUAAUGUCUGGGGAUCUGCCCGAUAGAGGGGGAUAACCACUGGAAACGGUGGCUAAUACCGCAUAACGUCGCAAGACCAAAGAGGGGGACCUUCGGGCCUCUCACUAUCGGAUGAACCCAGAUGGGAUUAGCUAGUAGGCGGGGUAAUGGCCCACCUAGGCGACGAUCCCUAGCUGGUCUGAGAGGAUGACCAGCCACACUGGAACUGAGACACGGUCCAGACUCCUACGGGAGGCAGCAGUGGGGAAUAUUGCACAAUGGGCGCAAGCCUGAUGCAGCCAUGCCGCGUGUAUGAAGAAGGCCUUCGGGUUGUAAAGUACUUUCAGCGGGGAGGAGGGCGACGGGGUUAAUAACCCUGUCGAUUGACGUUACCCGCAGAAGAAGCACCGGCUAACUCCGUGCCAGCAGCCGCGGUAAUACGGAGGGUGCAAGCGUCAAUCGGAAUUACUGGGCGUAAAGCGCACGCAGGCGGUCUGUUAAGUCAGAUGUGAAAUCCCCGGGCUUAACCUGGGAACUGCAUUUGAAACUGGCAGGCUUGUGUCUUGUAGAGGGGGGUAGAAUUYCAGGUGUAGCGGUGAAAUGCGUAGAGAUCUGGAGGAAUACCGGUGGCGAAGGCGGCCCCCUGSACAAAGACUGACGCUCAGGUGCGAAAGCGUGGGGAGCAAACAGGAUUAGAUACCCUGGUAGUSCACGCCGUAAACGAUGUCGACUUGGAGGUUGUUCCCUUUGAGGAGUGGCUUCCGGAGCUAACGCGUUAAGUCGACCGCCUGGGGAGUACGGCCGCAAGGUUAAAACUCAAAUGAAUUGACGGGGGCCCGCACAAGCGGUGGAGCAUGUGGUUUAAUUCGAUGCAACGCGAAGAACCUUACCUACUCUUGACAUCCACGGAAUUUGGCAGAGAUGCCUUAGUGCCUUCGGGAACCGUGAGACAGGUGCUGCAUGGCUGUCGUCAGCUCGUGUUGUGAAAUGUUGGGUUAAGUCCCGCAACGAGCGCAACCCUUAUCCUUUGUUGCCAGCGAUUCGGUCGGGAACUCAAAGGAGACUGCCGGUGAUAAACCGGAGGAAGGUGGGGAUGACGUCAAGUCAUCAUGGCCCUUACGAGUAGGGCUACACACGUGCUACAAUGGCGCAUACAAAGAGAAGCGACCUCGCGAGAGCAAGCGGACCUCACAAAGUGCGUCGUAGUCCGGAUCGGAGUCUGCAACUCGACUCCGUGAAGUCGGAAUCGCUAGUAAUCGUGGAUCAGAAUGCCACGGUGAAUACGUUCCCGGGCCUUGUACACACCGCCCGUCAUACCAUGGGAGUGGGUUGCAAAAGAAGUAGGUAGCUUAACCUUCGGGAGGGCGCUUACCACUUUGUGAUUCAUGACUGGGGUGAAGUCGUAACAAGGUAACCGUAGGGGAACCUGCGGUUGGAUCACCUCCUUA